This is a non-coding RNA of Oryza sativa Japonica Group (Japanese rice), 6825 nucleotides long. Lineage: Eukaryota; Viridiplantae; Streptophyta; Magnoliopsida; Poales; Poaceae. The record is from RefSeq and is a predicted model, not a curated record.
UGACACAGGGAGCGGAGGGGCAGCUUGGUCAUUCCACGUGGGAAGACUCGCCCGCCUCGCCUCGCCUCGCUCUCGCGCUUCGAAUCCCCACGCGACGCGACGCGCCCAACCGCGCCCUCGCCUCGCCGCCAUGGACGCCCCCGCGUUACCUCCUCCCCCUCGCCUGGUCGACUAUAUCUCCAGCCUCCAAGGCCUGGUGCGCCUGGGGGACCUCGCCGAUCUCGAGCCGGACAAGUCCGUGGUAGUUGUUGUCUCCGGCUGUUACCCGCUCGAGGACGCACCUAUACUGUUCGAUGAUUUGUCUGCGAGGGAGACCUGGUGCGUGAUCGGGAUGCCGGAGCUUUGUAUCCUCCGGGCGCGUGCCAUCAGUCUUUUGCAGCGGCGGGAAGAUCUCAGAGCUCUCGUCCGGGACAUGGGACAUGACUUGCUGGUCUGCGGGACGGAGUCAGGCAAGGUCGAGGGAGUUCUCGCGAGGGCACUGAAGCUUCCAGCAGGCAUGGAUGCACCGCCCGGGAUCAGCCUCGAUCUGGUGGGAGACGCUGACGAGGGACGGCGCUUCCUCCGCCGCGACAUUGCCCGCGCGCGUCUGCAGCUCGCCGCGCUCGCGGGCCACACCGAGCGGCACAUCCUGAGGCGGCUCGGGAGGGAGCUCGCACUGCGGGCGAGCACCGGAGUCGUGGCUCCGCAGGAGCUGUGGCCAGACAUCCAGGAGCAGAGGCUUCGCCACGCGCCACCUGACUCCACAUCUGAUGCGGCGUUGUAUGCAGAGGCUGCAGAGGAAGCUGCUUGGGUCGCUCCUGCGGGCACUCCUCCCGACAGCGAUGCCUAGGCGACGCCGGUGACAGGACGGUGUCCGCCAUCUCUGACUAAACUCCGGCCUUAUAACCACUGCGAAUUGAGUACAUAAACGUUGCGUUCCUUACUUACAUUGAGCUGCUUACAUCGUUACUCUAGUUAGAAACAGGUAGCCUUUUUUGGUUCAGGUGCACAUGACCCAAAUGGUGAACUUGUGGAUUUGAGCAAUUUUUUGUUCACCAAAUAGGUCAUGUGGUCCUGAUAUGUUUCCGAUGAUGAUCGAUCAGCACUGAAGUUUGUUUUUUGUUCUUGCUAUCCCUUUUUGAAAAUGAUUGAAUAUGUGCCUUGCCUGGCUUUUGAACUUUUGAUAGAUAAUAUGUUGAUGCUCUUGGAGCUAGGCUUGAAGGGACAGAAGCACUUGACAUCGGAGUUGCAUUUUGUGAUGAUAUUGCUAUACAUAUGAUUUUUGUUUCUGAUGUUCUAGUUUAGUUUCAUCAUUGCUACAGGUACUGAUAUUUUUGAUAUUGCUAUAUGGGUGUUGCUGAAUCAGUCUUAAACUCAAAAUAAGCUCUAUAUGGGGAUUUUGUUGCUGAACAGUCAUAAGGCAUGAUGGAUAAACAAUUUUUUCCUGCUUAGCAGCUUGUGGUACGGCUAUCUCAUAAGUCCUAUCUUAAGCUAGAGAGUUCCUCAUUUAGCUGUUGCGUAGAUUCUGCUGGUUGAUUUUAAUUAGCUGUGCUUUGCAAGAUACAUGCGUAUCAGCAGGUUUGAGCUGAUCAGCUGAAACAAAAGGCCAGUUUCUUUAUGCUCCAAUUUGCUCCAGGAUAUCAACGGCACUAAUAUUUUUGCACGACAUAAUUCUCUCGUAAAGUUAAAGAAAGAGUUACAUAGGAUUUUGAUUAGAACUGGCUUUGUUUUGACUUAGAUGACAAUGAGUUUACUGUUCUGAUUUCUAAACCAUGAUGAGUAGAAAUUUUUUUCCCACUGAAGUGCUUGCUAUAUCUUUACUGCAAUGUGUGUUUGCAUAACAGAUGAGUUAAUUAUGGUUGUGAAACCUUAUUGAUUGUGCUCCAUUGAGCUUCAUCAUGAUGUGCUACGCGUGUUGCUGAAUAAGUCGAAAAGUCGAAAGGAGCUGGGUUAGUGGGUUCUGUUAAUAAGACAUGAUGUGCAGUCAUUUUUUGCUGCUUAGCAUCGUGUGGUAAAUGAUAUCUUAACUAGAGAGCUUCACAUUUCGCUGUUGCGUAGAUUCUGGAUAAUUUAAGAAUUCUGUAAAAUAAAUCGUGGUAUCCAUAGGUUGUGAAGAAACUUUAAUUAGCUAUGCUUUGCAAGAUACAUGAAAAAUAUCAGUAGGUUUUUCAAUGGCUCUGUCACAUGUAUGGUUCCAAGUUCACUGCAACUGCAAGUGAUUUGAUCUGUGCAGCUAUCAAAUGUUUCUUAAGCAUGAUUUCUCUUUUUUGUUGACUUUGUUUAGCUAGAGAGUUCCUCAUUUAGCUGUUGCAUAGAUUCUGCUGGUUGAUUAUAAGGUCAGGGUAUAAGGCAUGAUGGAUAAAAUGAGCUAGGGAUUUUGUUGCUGAACAGUCAUAAGACAUGAUGGAUAAACAUUUUUUGCUGGUUAGCAGCUUGUGAUACUGUUAUCUCAUAAGUCAUAUCUUAACUAGUGAGUUUCACAUUUCGCUGUUGUGUAGAUUCUGGAUAGACUAAGAUUCUGUUAAAUAAAUCUGGGUAUUUAUUGGUUGUGAAGCAACUUUUACGUUUUGUACGAUACAUUAGUAGGUUUUUAGCUGAAACAAAAGGCAUGUUUAUUUAUGCUCCAAUACGGCGUCCAGUCCCCCGCCGCCACCGCCUCCGUCGAACCGUCGCUGGCACAGGGAGGACUCCGCGGCGGACUCCGAGAACGCCGCUGCCUUCUCCCUCCCUCGUGCAGUUCUUGCCGUCCCCACCGAUUCGCCACCGCGACGCAGUCCACUCCGCUGGUCACGAUCUCCGUUGCCGUCGCGAUGCAAGUCUCCCCUCUAAAGGUACACAUGAUCCACUCCAGCGCCACUCCUCAAUCAGUCGCCCUGCUGCCAAAAACAUUUAGCUGCUAUUCAGUUUCACAACAGAAAAUGUUCACCUCUUUAUUAAUACAUUUAGUUGUUUUUUGGGAUCAAACUAAAAAAUUACUCCGUGGCAUGAGGCAUCUCGAGGCUUCAAUAGUUUACUUACCAUGUGUUUUGACAAGCAAUGGAGGUUUUUCGUCUAGCAAACCUUGAAAAUUUGGGUUUCAAGGUGGGUAGAAUUAUGCAUAAGCUUUCUGGCCAGUGUUACAUAUGAUGGUGGAAACUCAACAAAUUCUGGUGCGCUGAAGAAAGAACUAUACUGUACAACAUCCGUUGAGGAUGACCAAAUUAUUGAGAAACUAAUUACUUUUGUUUCUGUCAUUUAAAGCUACCUGAAAGAAACAGAACAUUACGCUUCAUACACUGCAAGAAAUCAUGUAGUACAUGGAGCAGAUGUUCUUGGGUAAUAUAUGUGUUCAUGGCUUUCAGGGUAAAGUAUUUUUUUUCUAAAAUUAACUACACUGCUGUGCUGCACAUACAUCAAUUACUGAAAUGGGAUUGAACAUCUUAAAUUUUUAUGUGUUACAUGUAAACAUGCCAUUACAUAAUCUGGUGGCUGCCACUGCCCUUUAGCUACAACAUAUAUUUGGACCAUUCAUACAUUUUAUUUCUGAAAGUGGUCCAGGUCCUCAAGGUUGUCUAAAGAUAUCGAAACUAAUUCGCAGACUAAUUCAAAGCCAAUAUUAUUUUCUUAAGAUCAUAGAUUUAGACUGCAUAUAUGUGAAUUGACGGCAACCAUUGAAUAAAUAUGGUCAAAUAUCUCAUGAACCCGCCCUUUUUCAGAAGGCAAAAUUUGCUACAGGACACUCAAAAAACGUGUAAUUAGCUGUGAGACACCACAAAAACGUGUAUUUGCUAUAGGACACCACAAAAACUGGUAAUUAGCUGUUGGACACCCGCGAGAUUAUUUUAUUAUAUCCGAAGAAAUUGGAGAGAGAAACAACUGUGGAACCGAGAGGAGGUAGAGAAUGGCGCCGGUGCUCCGGUGGCUGGGAGACGACGACGCCGGCGGCGGAGUAUGUUCCCGAGUGCGGCGCAACAAGGGAGGGUGGUAGUAGGUCGAGGGAGUGAGGGAAAUGGCCGGAACGGCGAGUGCAAGGCCGUUAACCGGGAGGAGAGAGAGGUUGGGGGAUGGUUCAAAGUGGUGGAAAAGUGAAAGGGGAAAUGGAUGAAAUGGGUUCUCCUCGGCGAGGCAAGGCUAAUGGUGAGAGGUUAUGGCCAGCGGGGCUCUGAGGAAUGAGAUCGACCGGUGGCUGGCUUGACACGGCAUGAGGAGAGAGAGAGAGAGAGCUUGGUUUUGUGUGGAGAAAAGUGGAGCUCUAUCCAUGGAUUGGUCGAUGACGGCGGCGCUCACACGUGGUGGCCGUGGUAUGGUUGGGCGGCGGAGGAGGAACGGCACGGCAAGGCAUCGACGCUUUGGACUGCGGCGACGGCGGCUCAAACCACGGCGACGAUAGUGGCCGCCUCCUGCUCGCGCUCCACGCCGCCGGCCUCGCGUUCCCUCCCCGACCGCGUCCGCCUCCGCGCCGUCGGCCGCUCUUGGCGCGCGGUCGCCAACCUCGCCGUCGACAACCUCGGCGGCGUCUGCUCCCUGCUUUUUUUUUGUGUGUGUGAUUUCAGGUGGAGGAAGAUGGAGCCAGGGGCAAUCUUGCCAUUUCGAAAAAAUUCUUGCCUCUUUUGAUCCGGAUAUUAUAAAAUAUUGUCUCCGGUGUCCUAUAGCCAAUUACAUAAUUUUUGUAGUGUUCAUUAGCCGUGUCUCGUUUUUACAGUGUCUCACGGCUAAUUACAUGUUUUUUAAGUGUCCUGUAGCAAAUUUUGCCCUUUCAGAAUCCCUUUUUGUGAAAAAUUGAAACCAGCUCAUUAUGGUAGUGCCCGAGUUGUGAAGAUACUGAUGAAAACAUUCAAACUGAAUUUGGUUGUUGCAUUUAGGAUGUCAUCGGUAUUUUCUUUUCAAUCUCUCUCGCUGAUUUGGUUUCAUUUCAUUUAGGUAGAUAUUGUGCUAAAUUUAUUCCAAAUCAAAAUUAUCCCUUCCCCAUCAGGAUUGUCAUGCUAUCUGCUCUCUCCAAGUGCAGCCCAAUCCAACUAUCGACGCAGGCCAAUAUCAACAAGGUCCUUACAUGCAAGUAAUAUGCGCUCACAUCCCUGCAAGUUUAUUCUGUUCAUUUAUACUCAAAUUAUGUAAUAAUCGAGUCCAUAUGCCUAUGAGAAAUAUAAUUUCCUUACUGAAAUUGAUGACUGGGUGUACAAAACAUGACUCACAUUUUGGGAUUUGAACAUAUAUUUCCUAUAUAUAUUAAGAAAUUGUGUAUUCUUACUUAGGGAUUUGAUCUGUUGGUUUGUUUAACAUUGCAGUACUCCCUUAUUGAUUCCUUCCUCGCUUCUGAACAAAAAGGACUCAGAGGUGAUACAUUGAGUGCGGCAAAUUUGGUUCUCUAUGUGUCUAUUCAUUUUCUAAGUAAGCUGUAAGUACUACCAGCAUUACUAUGUAGUCAUGCUACGCAUCAUCUGCACUACUGACCUCUAGGUGCUUGUUCAGGUGUUUGCAUAUUGUUUUAUAAUGCCAACUGAACCUAUCUGAAAUCGGUUCCUCUAGGUGCUUGUAUGCCCGUGCGUUCAUUGCACUAUUGUGCAGUUUGCUACCAAAUCAAUCUCAGAUUUUUCUAGCGAGCCCGGUUAAUGAAUUUGUCUAUGAUCAAGUGUAGCUUUAAUUUGUCAGAUAUGGUGACCUUUAAUUUGGAUUUAUUUAUGAUAUUUCCUUGACAACCUUUAUAAAGUUUAUCUACUUUCUUUUUAUCUAUCUGCAAAGUUAAACAGAUGGUUCCUUAAUUUGUAGUGAAUUCGGUUCCCCAUCUCUGGUCCUAUGGUCCAGAGAUUGACAUUUCUCUGUUUUAUGAGGAAUUCAAAAAAUGUUUUUGCUAAAUGCAUACUAGAACAGUACAACCAUAUAAAGGGGGAUCUGUGGUCGGCCUGGUGAGUGUGUACCUCGCGGCCAGGUACUAUCGCUAUCUACAAUUGCACAUACGUGUAUUAUCCGGAUUUUUUUUCUUCUCCAAAACCAACACAAUGCCCUUAGAUAUUAGUUCUCCAGAUCCAACAAAUUUGUGCUGCUCUUGUAUAGCUGGAUUUGGGACUUCAUUUGAUUUGGGGUUGAUAUGCGGUUAUGUUUUUUAAAUUUGAGUGGGAAUUUUUGUUUUGGUUUAAUCAGAGGAUGGAGGAUAAUAUGAUGUACCCAAUCAAGGACCAAGAAACCAUGCUGUGAGUUGGCCAAUCUCUGUUCUCCUGCAAUUACAUUUUCCUUUUUGCAGUAGAUCUUGCUUCCAAUUGAUUUUGCAGGGCAGUACCAAUGGACAUGAACAGGCAGCAGCAGGAUACAGUUUGCUCCAAGGAAAUUUUGCAGCACCAAAUCAGUAUUAUACUGGCUAGCAUCUCUUGUUUAUUUGCAUUCUGAUGUUUUUUUUUAUCCUGUGGGACAGAUUGAUCUGGGCUACGAUCGAAUGCCACAAUAUAUGUCAGGCAUGUAACACAGGGGAGUGCAGAAAUCCUGUUAUUUUCACUCAAUCUGGGUUACAGGAUUGAAAUUCAAGUAUACAAGAUUGCAUAUAACUGAAGGAUUGGAGUGGUCAAUGUCUAGCAUUCAAGCGUGCAAGACCUACUGAGCUGUGUCACCAUUGCAUUGCAUCUGAUCUAAGUUGGCGCUCUUGGUUUAAAUUGUUGAGUGGUGUCAAUGCUAAACUUUUAUGCCGAAUAAGAGUUAAGAAUCUUUUACCAACUUUUUACGCUGGGGCACUUCUUGGAUGCCCUAAUCUUAUAUUCGUUUAGUGCCUUGAAUGAAAACUAGAGCAAUGCUAGGCUUAGUUUGUUGCGUGAUGUAGUAGAUGGAGAUGUGUUUAUAGCACGGAAAUAAUAAAAUCAUUUUCCAUAUGUUCUCUAUUAA